UCAGUAGCUCAGUGGAUAACGCGGUGGCGUUUGAAGCAAGCGGUACUGGGUUCGAGUCCCAGAAUGA
RNAcentral lists this transfer RNA (67 nucleotides) under Schistosoma mansoni. Lineage: Eukaryota; Metazoa; Platyhelminthes; Trematoda; Strigeidida; Schistosomatidae. The record is from RNAcentral.